CAGUAGCCGCGGUAACACGGAGGGUGCAAGCGUUAUCCGGAUUUAUUGGGUUUAAAGGGUCCGUAGGCGGACUUAUAAGUCAGUGGUGAAAGCCUGUCGCUUAACGAUAGAACUGCCAUUGAUACUGUAAGUCUUGAGUAUAUUUGAGGUAGCUGGAAUAAUUAGUGUAGCGGUGAAAUGCAUAGAUAUUACUUAGAACACCAAUUGCGAAGGCAGGUUACCAAGAUAUAACUGACGCUGAGGGACGAAAGCGUGGGUAGCGAACAGGAUUAGAUACCCGCGUAGUCCCUGUCUCUUAUAC
Molecule: ribosomal RNA, 301 nt
Filed under: uncultured bacterium
Lineage: Bacteria
Description: partial 16S ribosomal RNA
Rfam family: Bacterial small subunit ribosomal RNA
Source: RNAcentral